AACGAACGCUGGCGGCAUGCCUAACACAUGCAAGUCGAACGAGACCUUCGAGUCUAGUGGCGCACGGGUGCGUAACGCGUGGGAACCUGCCCUUAGGUUCGGAAUAACUCCCCGAAAGGGGUGCUAAUACCGGAUAAUGUCUUCGGACCAAAGAUUUAUCGCCUUUGGAUGGGCCCGCGUUGGAUUAGCUAGUUGGUAGGGUAAAAGCCUACCAAGGCGACGAUCCAUAGCUGGUCUGAGAGGAUGAUCAGCCACACUGGGACUGAGACACGGCCCAGACUCCUACGGGAGGCAGCAGUGGGGAAUAUUGGACAAUGGGCGAAAGCCUGACGCAGCAAUGCCGCGUGAGUGAUGAAGGCCUUAGGGUUGUAAAGCUCUUUUACCCGGGAUGAUAAUGACAGUACCGGGAGAAUAAGCUCCGGCUAACUCCGUG
This 433-nucleotide ribosomal RNA is filed under the name uncultured bacterium. Its description in RNAcentral is "partial 16S ribosomal RNA". It matches the Rfam family "Bacterial small subunit ribosomal RNA", at positions 29 to 507 of the family's 1533-position model. The record is from RNAcentral.